Molecule: non-coding RNA, 1677 nt
Organism: Drosophila suzukii
Lineage: Eukaryota; Metazoa; Arthropoda; Insecta; Diptera; Drosophilidae
Source: RefSeq, a predicted model, not a curated record
CUAGAGUAGUGAACUUUGUCGAAGGUCAAGAAGUUUUCCGCAGGAAUUUUAAGCAAAGUAAUUUUGCCGAGGGCUACAACGCCAAGCUUGCCCCAAGAGUAAGGAAAAAGUUGGGUGACACUUACUAUGCUCUGGAAGACAUGCAGGGAAAAUUUUUGGGCAAAUAUCAUGCCAAAGACAUACGGCAAUAACUGGCUACACGCGGGAUCAGUCCUGGUUACUCUGUGAUCCCCAGUCUGAUUUUGGCAGGGGGUAUUUGUAAGUGCGCGUGUACCAGUAAUGUAUCUGGGUUUCGGAUAGCCUGGACCAGCACCUAUGGUUGCUUAGCAACAAUGUUUUUGCGGAUGCUUAGCAACAUGUCUCUUAAGAACAUCUGGGAGAAACAAGGCAACAUGCUGCGCUCCUAGUAGGUCCGGAAAAACUGUGGCUGUGUGAGUUGCUAGGAGAGACUGAUCGAGAAUAAGGAGAAAAAGAUUUUCGCGCCUCUCUGUGGGCAAACGGCGGAGUGGUGGAAUCGCGGUUUGGUGGCGUCUUGCAGGGGGUAUAAAAGGCGGUCCGCUGGCGUCAGCCGCUCAUAGCAAGUGAGACUCUAAGUGCAAUUUCAACUUAGACAUUUCGAACUUAAUCCCGUGAGGAGUGAUUCAAGCCCCUUGCAACAGCAGUGGCUCAAAGGCGGCAAGCGACAGCGACGCGGAAGAGCGAUCUCGGAGCACCACGACGAGUAUUGCCAAAGAGGGUAGCUCUACCACGGCGGCGAGCCUGGAUUGUGGCAACCACACCCAAGAGUUGGCGCAAGCAAACCACGGCGCUUCUAAGCGCCAAUCAACAAAGAGAAUUGCACAGGCGCAUUUGUUUGUUUAGCGCAAGCGUUUUUUUUUGGAUCAGCCGCCAGCGGCAAGGCCGUAUCGAGGUUUUCCCUCAAACGCGGCGUUCCACAGGGCAGCACACUGUGCUUUUCCUUAAUGUGAUGAAAACACUGAAAUCCACCAAUUAAUAUUCCUGACCACCUGAAGAAGGUCAACAUGAUUAGUUAAAUGCACUUUAUUUUUAUUGUCAUUAUUUUUAUUUAAACCUGAGUCCAAUAACUCCAAGAAACACAAAAGAACAGUCGGUCAUAUAGACGAACAAAACGAACAACAAAGAUUAUGCGCGAGGUUUGUUAGGAGGGCGAUAUUUUCCAAUAUAUUCACAGGUGCGGCAACCUCUUUGGAAUCGCUUUCAUCGGAGGAUGCGGCACAACUUUACGUGAGUUAAACUUUCAUUUAAUUUAAACACCUAAACGCGAACGGCGAAAUAUUCGCAAAAAAAAACCCCGCAGGGCAAACUAGAGCGCACCGUCGCAAAGAAACGCGAGAAGUAAAUGAAAAGAAGAUAAGAACGUAGUCGCCCGCUAGCAUCCCUCCCUUUCCCCCUUACCACCACUUGGGCGCACAAGCAGCGGCGUCAGAGCUCGCUAGCAGUCGCGCAUGCGCGCCUGGUAUCGCAUCCCGGCCAUUGCCGAGGGAUUUUUAUGUUUGUAGUUUUGGUUCUAUCAGAUCCACAAAUGCUUUUGUUGUUUUGAUUUAAUUUGCUUUGAUAUAUUCUGCGUGUAGUUUCUUUUGGCAGCGCUGACUGCAGUCGCUGCGCGACAAAUUUACGAUUUGCGAAUGCAAUCCAGGGCUCAAUUAAAGCUUUAAA